Molecule: ribosomal RNA, 936 nt
Filed under: Mycobacterium paragordonae
Lineage: Bacteria; Bacillati; Actinomycetota; Actinomycetes; Mycobacteriales; Mycobacteriaceae
Description: bacterial SSU rRNA
Rfam family: Bacterial small subunit ribosomal RNA
Source: RNAcentral
GGCCCGUAUCGGGGUACACGAGUGGCGAACGGGUGAGUAACACGUGGGUAAUCUGCCCUGCACAUCGGGAUAAGCCUGGGAAACUGGGUCUAAUACCGAAUAGGACCACAGAACACAUGUCCUGUGGUGGAAAGCUUUUGCGGUGUGGGAUGGGCCCGCGGCCUAUCAGCUUGUUGGUGGGGUGAUGGCCUACCAAGGCGACGACGGGUAGCCGGCCUGAGAGGGUGUCCGGCCACACUGGGACUGAGAUACGGCCCAGACUCCUACGGGAGGCAGCAGUGGGGAAUAUUGCACAAUGGGCGAAAGCCUGAUGCAGCGACGCCGCGUGGGGGAUGACGGCCUUCGGGUUGUAAACCUCUUUCACCAUCGACGAAGGUCCGGGUUUUCUCGGGCUGACGGUAGGUGGAGAAGAAGCACCGGCCAACUACGUGCCAGCAGCCGCGGUAAUACGUAGGGUGCGAGCGUUGUCCGGAAUUACUGGGCGUAAAGAGCUCGUAGGUGGUUUGUCGCGUUGUUCGUGAAAUCUCACGGCUUAACUGUGAGCGUGCGGGCGAUACGGGCAGACUUGAGUACUGCAGGGGAGACUGGAAUUCCUGGUGUAGCGGUGGAAUGCGCAGAUAUCAGGAGGAACACCGGUGGCGAAGGCGGGUCUCUGGGCAGUAACUGACGCUGAGGAGCGAAAGCGUGGGGAGCGAACAGGAUUAGAUACCCUGGUAGUCCACGCCGUAAACGGUGGGUACUAGGUGUGGGUUUCCUUCCUUGGGAUCCGUGCCGUAGCUAACGCAUUAAGUACCCCGCCUGGGGAGUACGGCCGCAAGGCUAAAACUCAAAGAAAUUGACGGGGGCCCGCACAAGCGGCGGAGCAUGUGGAUUAAUUCGAUGCAACGCGAAGAACCUUACCUGGGUUUGACAUGCACAGGACGCCGGCAGAGAUGU